RNAcentral lists this ribosomal RNA (484 nucleotides) under uncultured bacterium. RNAcentral describes it as "partial 16S ribosomal RNA". It matches the Rfam family "Bacterial small subunit ribosomal RNA", at positions 30 to 507 of the family's 1533-position model. The record is from RNAcentral.
AUUGAACGCUGGCGGCAUGCUUUACACAUGCAAGUCGAACGGUAACAGGGAGCUUGCUCCGCUGACGAGUGGCGAACGGGUGAGUAAUAUAUCGGAACGUACCCAAGAGUGGGGGAUAACGUAGCGAAAGUUACGCUAAUACCGCAUACGAUCUAAGGAUGAAAGCAGGGGACCUUCGGGCCUUGUGCUCCUGGAGCGGCCGAUAUCUGAUUAGCUAGUUGGUGAGGUAAAGGCUCACCAAGGCGACGAUCAGUAGCUGGUCUGAGAGGACGACCAGCCACACUGGAACUAAGACACGGUCCAGACUCCUACGGGAGGCAGCAGUGGGGAAUUUUGGACAAUGGGCGCAAGCCUGAUCCAGCAAUGCCGCGUGAGUGAAGAAGGCCUUCGGGUUGUAAAGCUCUUUUGUCAGGGAAGAAACGGCUGUGGCUAAUAUCCACGGCUAAUGACGGUACCUGAAGAAUAAGCACCGGCUAACUACGUG